UGCUAUGCUGUAUUUACAGCCUUAGCAUCCGCACUGAAGUGGAGAAAGUGCUCUGUAGAACACUCAGUAGGUUAACACUGACAUGACUAAGCGGAGCUGGACUACUCAACUUUGGCAUCGCCUGGCGCAAGGAGAGCAAGGCAUUGCAGGCUGCCGGCUUUUGUCGCUGUAUGAGUCUCCGAGGCAAGCCUAAAGAUACCGCCCAGCCCCGCUUGCUUCCAACGCUGGGCCCGCGAGCAGCACGGCCCCGCCUUCCCCCUCACGACGCCCGGGGCGGGCAGUAACGGCGGGGCGGGCCCGGCCGCCAUGGAAGUGCGCGGUCAGCUGCUGCCCCAGGCCGCGGCUCACGGGCCUGCCUGCGUGCUGUCGGAGGACGACAGCCGUGCUGCCUCGCUGGCGAGGAGAGCAGAAGACGGAGAUCCCUGGGCGUGUUUUCUAAGAGGACAGCAGUACUAUGAAGAGGGGAGGUAUGAAGAAGCGUUAGUACAAUUUGAAAAAUGCAAGGAUGCAGAUUUUCAAGCCCUGUAUCAACUUGGUGUAAUGCAUUACGAUGGACUAGGCACUAAUAAAGACCCUGAAAAGGGAGUGGAAUACAUGAAGAAAGUACUCAACUCUGAUUCCCCAGAAGCAAGACACUUAAAGUUUGCAGCUGCAUAUAAUCUCGGCAGAGCGCAUUAUGAAGGAUAUGGUGUUAAGCAUUCAACUGAAGAGGCUGAAAGGUUGUGGCUUAUUGCUGCGGACCACGGGAAUCCAAAAGCCAGCGUAAAGGCCCAGAGCACUUUAGGAAUGCUUUAUUCCAUGCCAGAUCGAAAAGAUCUGAAGAAGGCCUUUUUCUGGCAUUCAGAAGCAUGUGGCAAUGGAAGCCUGGAAUCACAGGGUGCACUUGGCGUUAUGUAUCUCCAUGGACAAGGCAUACGUCGGAACAUUAGCGCGGCUUUGGAGUGCUUGAAAGCAGCAGCAAAAAGAGGAAACAUCUAUGCUCAAGGCCAUCUUGUGGAAUAUUAUUACAAUAGAAAAUUCUUCUCAACCGCUGCUGCCAUAGCCAAAAGGACUACAGAAAAUGACAACAUUGAGAUGCUAGCAACGAUGACUGAUUGUCUCCCUGCAUAUGUAGCCAAAGGGGUUGCUAUGGCUGCUUUCUACUUGGCUAGGUGCCUCCAUCUCGGCCGAGGUGUACAGCAAGAUGAAGCUGCUGCUAAAAAAUACUAUUCUAAGGCAUGCCUUCUGGAUCCUGAUGUUGCUUCUGAUCUUGAACUGAAAGCUAAUCUUGGAAGAAUUUAGUGUUUCCUUCAGUUGUGGCAGAACUUCACAGGUAAGAGGAGCAUAUAGGGUCCUUCUGCUCAUCUUUCAUGCAACUGCUGUUCCGAAAGCCAGCCCAAGAAUUCUCCUUCCCUCAAAUUCUCCAAGCAAUGCAGUGGGUGUCUGCUUCUUCUCAGCUAUAUCAACAAGUUGGUGUGCACCUUACAAAGUCGGGCAACUUGGAUGGAGUGGAGACUCUCUCGUAGACAAAAGCAAUAUUGUAUUUUAAACAGCUUUUUGUUACUUAAAAUGAUUCUAGUGAUGAAGUGAGUAUGUUUUUUUCUGACUUCUUUCAAGAACAAAAAAGUUACUUGCAGAGAUUAGUAUCAUACUACCGUUAUGUGUGCAAAACCACACACCCUGGGCUUUAAUUCUGAGCGGAACCUAGCAAUUAGGAUGAUUCUAAAAUUAAAAGCCCACUUUUCUGGUUACUCACAUAGAGUAGAUGCUUGUUGGCCUUUCUUUCUUGCAGCGCGUUGAACACUUUCACUACACCGUGGCGGGCGUUUUGCUGUCCAACAAGGCUCUGCAGAGUAUCUGCAAUGAACAUGACUUCAGCAUACAGCUUCAGUCCUCCAACCAACAUUACUACCCAAAAAUACAUAAGGACUGGAAAAUGAAACACUGCCCUUCACAGUAGAUACUUAUAAGAUGCGUAGACACCAUCCGCCAACCUUUUAAAAACACACAGAAAUAAACCUUCAGCCACAAAGAAUUCCUACAACAGUUCAGAUUGCCUCUCCACUUUCCCAGAAUUCUCUCAUCAGCUUGCUUUUAAGUCAAUGAUUUACAUUUCGAAUUAAAUUACAGUAGAGAAUAAA
Molecule: RNA transcript, 2120 nt
Organism: Numida meleagris (helmeted guineafowl)
Lineage: Eukaryota; Metazoa; Chordata; Aves; Galliformes; Numididae
Gene: LRP2BP
Gene name: LRP2 binding protein
Exons: 10
Source: RefSeq, a predicted model, not a curated record